GCAUUAGUAGCUCAGCGUUAGAGCACCAGUCUUGUAAACUGGACGCCGGGGGUUAAAAUCCCCUCUACUGC
Molecule: transfer RNA, 71 nt
Filed under: Lepomis gibbosus (pumpkinseed sunfish)
Lineage: Eukaryota; Metazoa; Chordata; Actinopteri; Centrarchiformes; Centrarchidae
Description: tRNA-Thr
Rfam family: tRNA
About the family: Transfer RNA (tRNA) molecules are approximately 80 nucleotides in length. Their secondary structure includes four short double-helical elements and three loops (D, anti-codon, and T loops).
Source: RNAcentral